GACGAACGCUGGCGGCGUGCUUAACACAUGCAAGUCGAACGGUAAGGCCCUUCGGGGUACACGAGUGGCGAACGGGUGAGUAACACGUGGGUGAUCUGCCCUGCACUUCGGGAUAAGCCUGGGAAACUGGGUCUAAUACCGGAUAGGACCACUGCCUGCAUGGGUGGUGGUGGAAAGCUUUUGCGGUGUGGGAUGGGCCCGCGGCCUAUCAGCUUGUUGGUGGUGUGAUGGCCUACCAAGGCGACGACGGGUAGCCGGCCUGGGAGGGUGACCGGCCACACUGGGACAGAGAUACGGCCCAGACUCCUACGGGAGGCAGCAGUGGGGAAUAUUGCACAAUGGGCGCAAGCCUGAUGCAGCGACGCCGCGUGAGGGAUGACGGCCUUCGGGUUGUAAACCUCUUUCAGCACCGACGAAGCGCAAGUGACGGUAGGUGCAGAAGAAGGACCGGCCAACUACGUGCCAGCCGCCGCCGUAA
This 478-nucleotide ribosomal RNA is filed under the name uncultured bacterium. Its description in RNAcentral is "partial 16S ribosomal RNA". It matches the Rfam family "Bacterial small subunit ribosomal RNA", at positions 28 to 523 of the family's 1533-position model. The record is from RNAcentral.